CGUACACUCCUGCGGGAGGCAGCAGUGGGGAAUAUUGGACAAUGGGCGCAAGCCUGAUCCAGCCAUGCCGCGUGAGUGAUGAAGGCCCUAGGGUUGUAAAGCUCUUUCACCGGAGAAGAUAAUGACGGUAUCCGGAGAAGAAGCCCCGGCUAACUUCGUGCCAGCAGCCGCGGUAAUACGAAGGGGGCUAGCGUUGUUCGGAAUUACUGGGCGUAAAGCGCACGUAGGCGGAUCGAUCAGUCAGGGGUGAAAUCCCAGGGCUCAACCCUGGAACUGCCUUUGAUACUGUCGAUCUGGAGUAUGGAAGAGGUGAGUGGAAUUCCGAGUGUAGAGGUGAAAUUCGUAGAUAUUCGGAGGAACACCAGUGGCGAAGGCGGCUCACUGGUCCAUUACUGACGCUGAGGUGCGAAAGCGUGGGGAGCAAACAGGAUUAGAUACCCCAGUAGUCCCAUGA
Molecule: ribosomal RNA, 454 nt
Filed under: uncultured organism
Description: partial 16S ribosomal RNA
Rfam family: Bacterial small subunit ribosomal RNA
Source: RNAcentral